RNAcentral lists this non-coding RNA (102 nucleotides) under Conticribra weissflogii. Lineage: Eukaryota; Bacillariophyta; Thalassiosirophyceae; Thalassiosirales; Thalassiosiraceae. The record is from RNAcentral.
UAACCACGAUUCUUCAUCAUGCCGCCAACAGCACUUACCGCCCUCAUCUUCGUGCUAACGAACAUAGCAUUCCUCCCAACGUCCACUUGGGCACUCUCUAUC